This is a long non-coding RNA of Prionailurus viverrinus (fishing cat), 419 nucleotides long. RefSeq lists it as uncharacterized. Lineage: Eukaryota; Metazoa; Chordata; Mammalia; Carnivora; Felidae. The record is from RefSeq and is a predicted model, not a curated record. The transcript is spliced from 2 exons.
CCACCGCAGCAGCAACAGGAAGAGCUGCGCGCACACCGCCCGCCGGAGCCGGAAGUGACGUCAAAAUGGCAGGCCGGAACAAAAGGAGAGAAAAAGACACACGAGAUGAACACAGAAGGGAGAAGGUCUUGUGACGAUGGAGUCAAAGAGUGGAGGGAAGGGGCUAUAAGCCAAGGAACCCCAAGGAUUGCUGGAGCUGUCAGAAGCGAGAAGAAGAGGAAGAAUUCUUCCUUAGAGCCUUCAAAGGGAACAUGGCCCUGCUGACACCUUGAUUUCAGACUUAUAGCCUCCAGAACUAUGACAGAGUAAAUCUCUGUUAUUUUAAGCCACCAAGUUUGUGACAAUUUGCUCUGACAUCCCAUUGUAUAGGAAACAAAUAUAUACAAUCUUCUGUAAAAUAAAAACUAUCUUCAACAUUG